This 458-nucleotide ribosomal RNA is filed under the name uncultured bacterium. RNAcentral's name for it is "partial 16S ribosomal RNA". It matches the Rfam family "Bacterial small subunit ribosomal RNA", at positions 28 to 522 of the family's 1533-position model. The record is from RNAcentral.
GAUGAAUGCUGGCGGCGUGCCUAAUACAUGCAAGUCGAGCGGAAAGGCCCUUCGGGGUACUCGAGCGGCGGACGGCUGAGUAACGCGUGGGAACAUACCCCAAAGUGAGGGAUAAACGCCCGAAAGGGUGGGUAAUACCGCAUAUGGUCUUCGGAUUAAAGGAUUUAUCCGCUGUGGGAAUGGCCUGCGUAUGAUUAGAUAGUUGGUGAGGUAAUGGCUCACCAAGUCUACGAUCAUUAACUGGUCUGAGAGGAUGAUCAGUCAGACUGGAACUGAGACACGGUCCAGACUCCUACGGGAGGCAGCAGUAAAGAAUCUUCCACAAUGGGCGAAAGCCUGAUGGAGCAACGCCGCGUGCAGGAUGAAGGCCUUCGGGUUGUAAACUGCUUUUAUAAGUGAAGAAUAUGACGGUAACUUAUGAAUAAGCACCGGCUAACUACGUGCCAGCAGCCGCCGUA